RNAcentral lists this ribosomal RNA (450 nucleotides) under uncultured bacterium. Its description in RNAcentral is "partial 16S ribosomal RNA". It matches the Rfam family "Bacterial small subunit ribosomal RNA", at positions 354 to 796 of the family's 1533-position model. The record is from RNAcentral.
GUGGGGAAUUUUGGACAAUGGGCGCAAGCCUGAUCCAGCAAUGCCGCGUGCAGGAAGAAGGCCUUCGGGUUGUAAACUGCUUUUGUACGGAACGAAAAGGCUCUGGUUAAUACCUGGGGCUCAUGACGGUACCGUAAGAAUAAGCACCGGCUAACUACGUGCCAGCAGCCGCGGUAAUACGUAGGGUGCAAGCGUUAAUCGGAAUUACUGGGCGUAAAGCGUGCGCAGGCGGUUUUGUGAGACAGGCGUGAAAUCCCCGGGCUCAACCUGGGAAUGGCGCUUGUGACUGCAAGGCUGGAGUGCGGCAGAGGGGGAUGGAAUUCCGCGUGUAGCAGUGAAAUGCGUAGAUAUGCGGAGGAACACCGAUGGCGAAGGCAAUCCCCUGGGCCUGCACUGACGCUCAUGCACGAAAGCGUGGGGAGCAAACAGGAUUAGAUACCCCUGUAGUCC